Molecule: ribosomal RNA, 25 nt
Filed under: Leptasterias fisheri
Lineage: Eukaryota; Metazoa; Echinodermata; Asteroidea; Forcipulatida; Asteriidae
Description: partial 12S ribosomal RNA
Source: RNAcentral
UAUUGGAAAAUGUGCCUGGUAUAAA